GUGAAGAAGGUCUUCGGAUCGUAAAACUCUGUUAUUAGGGAAGAACAAAUGUGUAAGUAACUAUGCACGUCUUGACGGUACCUAAUCAGAAAGCCACGGCUAACUACGUGCCAGCAGCCGCGGUAAUACGUAGGUGGCAAGCGUUAUCCGGAAUUAUUGGGCGUAAAGCGCGCGUAGGCGGUUUUUUAAGUCUGAUGUGAAAGCCCACGGCU
RNAcentral lists this ribosomal RNA (212 nucleotides) under uncultured bacterium. RNAcentral describes it as "partial 16S ribosomal RNA". It matches the Rfam family "Bacterial small subunit ribosomal RNA", at positions 405 to 609 of the family's 1533-position model. The record is from RNAcentral.